RNAcentral lists this long non-coding RNA (1655 nucleotides) under Zea mays. RNAcentral describes it as "long non-coding RNA (ZMAY_LNC004749)". Lineage: Eukaryota; Viridiplantae; Streptophyta; Magnoliopsida; Poales; Poaceae. The record is from RNAcentral.
CCACACCACCUAACCCUAGCCGCCCCCACCAUCUCCUCCUCCCAAGGUGCCAUUCCCUGCCGCUCGGAUCUACGUCGCGUGGUGCAAAUCUCCAAUUGUUUUCGGUGGAGGGAAGAAGGGAGGAAGGAAAGGGGGAGAAUCCAAGGUGAUUUUUGUGUUUAUCUCUUGUUCAUUUGUGCUGCAAUCCAAUUGAUUAGAUGUUGAGUAUGCGAUUUGGUAGAAGGGCUGUCCAGAAUUUUAGGGGGUGGACGAACAGCAGCAGUAUUAGUGGUUUCGGGUAAUUUUUCGUGGGAAAUUAAUGGGAAUCAGUUUGGGAAUCAUGUAGAACUUUGGCAUACCUUUCCAACGAGUAUUUAUGCGCUCAAUUUAGAGUUAUAAAUUAAAAGAUAUCACCGUUUGAAUCCGGGUAUGUGGUUGUCCAGAAAAAUAGAUUUUCAGGUGGACGAACAGCAGCAGUAUUAGCAGUUUCUGGGGAUUUUUCGUGAGUAAUUAGUGUUAAUCAGUAUGAGAAUCAUGUAGGGCUUUUUCUUACCUUUCCAACAAGUACUUAUGCGCUCGAUUCGGAAUUAUAUUUUAAAAGUUAUCGCUGUUUGAAUCCGAGUAUGUCGCUGCCCAAAAGAGAAAAAAACAGAUUGCAGGGUUUAUCUUGUGGACCGUUUUGGGGUAGUUAGACGUUGGAAUUUAAUCAUAAAUUGUAUACAAAACUUAUGGGGAAUUUUAUGUAGUUGUCUCUGGAGUUUUUGUUUGUCAUCACUGCUUUCUUAAUUUUAAAGUUAGGGAAUUGUUAAGCAGCGCCGCUGCAGUUUGGUGGGUGUGGGGAGAAUUGUUACCCGCGGCGGGGUUUGAGACUGCGCGUAGGUGCGGCGUUGUUUUUUAGGCUUAUUAUGUGAAUUUGAUGCACUAAGUUGGGUGUCAAAAAUAGGUGGUGGACUUCCGGAUCGUACCUAGGGAUUUGCCCAAACUUCCGGUGAAGGCAAGUAAAACAGUGAUGGUUAUUCCGUCUGUCGAAUGAAGAGUCUUAUACUUGAUUAUGUUGUGCUAUUGUGUUCGUAUUCAUAUUUUUAAUUGAGUACCAUCAUUUGAAGAUAUUCGUGUAGUAUAUGUCUAGCACAUUUUAUUUGGGAAGAACUCAUGUUGUUGUCAUGCAUAAUGCAUUCAUUAUUCAUUGCAUGGAAGUUCGUCGUGAUCUUAUGGUCCGACCGUACCGGUACAUUGAGCAUCAUAUGUUGCCCGAGAAGGGGUAUGAUGCAGCUUCAUAUCCUCAGAGAUAUGAAGGCAGAAGUCAUUACUGCAUCUGUAGCCAUGUGCAUUCAUAGGAGAGGUGUGGAAUUUAUUAUGUGGAUGUGGAUAGUGUGGAUUUUUACAUUGUAAUUCUUCUUGGCGUUAAGUAAUUAGUUACUUGCUUACUUGCUGCAAAUUAUUAUUCAAGAAGGAAGUUUUGAACUACGUGGUUGUUUAAGCACAAUUGGUUUACAUUGUCCAAUUGUGGUUUGCUCUGUUUACUUGCUGAGAUGUGUCAUCUCACUCUUGCAUUGUUUAAUGCAGGCACCUGAUUUCUGCUUUGGGAAAAGAGGGAUGUAGCAGCACGGCCACUACACCUUUAAUAAAGGAACCACUGCUUAAUAAUGUUGUUAAUCAGGGAGGGUCAAGUCUAG